CCUACGGGUGGCAGCAGUGAGGACUAUUGGUCAAUGGGCGCGAGCCUGAACCAGCCAAGUAGCGUGAGGGAAGACGGCCCUACGGGUUGUAAACCUCUUUUGCCGGGGAGCAAAGUGCGCCACGUGUGGCGCCACUGAGAGUACCCGGAGCAAACGCAUCGGCUAACUCCGUGUCAGCAGCCGCGGUAAUACGGAGGUACCAAGCGGUAUCCGGAUUUAUUGGGUUUAAAGGGUGCGUAGGCGGUCCGUACAGUCAGCGGGAAAAGCCCGGGUCUCAACCCCGGCGAGCCGUUGAAACUGGCGAACUAGAGUCGGCGAGAAGUACGCGGAAUGCGCGGUGUAGCGGUGAAAUGCAUAGAUAGCGCGCAGAACUCCGAUUGCGAAGGCAGCGUACCGGCGCCGGACUGACGCUGAGGCACGAAAGCGUGGGUAUCGAACAGGAUUAGAUACCCCGGUAGUC
RNAcentral lists this ribosomal RNA (460 nucleotides) under uncultured bacterium. RNAcentral's name for it is "partial 16S ribosomal RNA". It matches the Rfam family "Bacterial small subunit ribosomal RNA", at positions 338 to 795 of the family's 1533-position model. The record is from RNAcentral.